UACGAAGGGUGCAAACGUUGCUCGGAAUUAUUGGGCGUAAAGCGCACGUAGGCGGCUUCGCAAGUCCGGGGUGAAAGCCCCCAGCUCAACUGGGGAAGUGCCUUGGAUACUGCGGAGCUCGAGGGGGAUAGGGGUCGUGGGAACUUCCGGUGGAGCGGUGAAAUGCGUUGAUAUCGGAAGGAACGCCGGUGGCGAAAGCGCACGACUGGGUCCCUACUGACGCUGAGGCGCGAAAGCCAGGGGAGCAAACGGG
RNAcentral lists this ribosomal RNA (253 nucleotides) under uncultured bacterium. RNAcentral describes it as "partial 16S ribosomal RNA". It matches the Rfam family "Bacterial small subunit ribosomal RNA", at positions 524 to 776 of the family's 1533-position model. The record is from RNAcentral.